Molecule: unclassified non-coding RNA, 1002 nt
Filed under: Pectinophora gossypiella (pink bollworm)
Lineage: Eukaryota; Metazoa; Arthropoda; Insecta; Lepidoptera; Gelechiidae
Description: ras-related protein Rab-27A
Source: RNAcentral
ACACAUCGUAGAAUUUAAAAUCGAUCGUCGAUCGCGUGUUUAAAUCCAAAUAAAUGGUUUUAUACGCAAUUUUUGUGACAAUAUUAAUGGCUCUUUAAACUUUAAAUAGUCUAGUACUCUGUUGUUGUCCCUCUAAUGUGCCGUAUAGUAUUUAUAAGAGAUAUCUUCUCUUAUCAGUCAUGGCCUACGAUUACCUCAUAAAGUUGCUUUGCGUAGGAGAUUCAGGUGUCGGAAAGACCAGCUUCCUUUACAAAUACACUGACGGAGUAUUUCAUACACAAUUUAUAUCGACUGUUGGUAUAGAUUUCAGAGAAAAAACUGUGAUAUACCAGCAAAAUGGAAGACAACACCGAAUUCAUUUGCAACUGUGGGAUACAGCAGGUCAAGAGCGGUUUAGAAGUCUGACAACAGCAUUUUACAGAGAUGCAAUGGGUUUCCUGCUUCUAUUUGACUUGACUAAUGAAGCAUCAUUUCUUGAAGUCAGAAAUUGGAUAGAGCAGUUAAAGACUCACAGUAUAAGUGACGACCCAGAUGUAGUGCUGUGUGGUCACAAGUGUGACUUGCAAGAGAAGAGAUUGGUCAACCAGAACAGGGCCAGGGAGUUUGCGAAGAAUUACAAUUUGUCAUACCUUGAAACAAGUGCUAAAACCGGACAAAACAUUGACCGUGCUAUUGAGAUCCUUCUUGACAAGGUUAUGUACAGAAUGGAGACUUCAGUGGAAUAUGCUAUGCUGUGCGCAUCAGGGCGCCGCCGUGAAUCCCUGCAAAGAUUACAAGCUAAAAGAGAGAGAAAUGUGUGUUCCUGUUAAUAUUAAUUUGUUCUACAAAUAUCUGCAGUUCUGUAGAACAGACGAAAGAAACAUACAAAGAAAACAGACGGUACAGGGUUGGUGAAGCGGUUGUUGACCGCACAACCUUACAUGGAAAUUAUAGCUCUACAAUUUUCGCGCUUCCGCAAUACACAACCCACAUGAUGGAAGAUGAUGUAAUUGUAGGAGUGGU